GGUCUCCGUUGGUGAACCAGCGGAGGGAUCAUUACCGAGUUUUCAACUCCCAAACCCCAUGUGAACUUAUACCAUUUACAACCGUUGCUUCGGCGGGUUCUCGCCCCGGGCUUUACACCCCGGAACCAGGCGGCCCGCCGGGGGACCCAAACUCUAGAUUUAUAUUUUAGCAUGUCUGAGUGGAAUCAUUACAAAAUGAAUCAAAACUUUCAACAACGGAUCUCUUGGUUCUGGCAUCGAUGAAGAACGCAGCGAAAUGCGAUAAGUAAUGUGAAUUGCAGAAUUCAGUGAAUCAUCGAAUCUUUGAACGCACAUUGCGCCCGCCAGUAUUCUGGCGGGCAUGCCUGUUCGAGCGUCAUUUCAACCCUCAAGCCCCAGCGGUUUGGUGUUGGGGACCGGCGAGUACAGAGGCUUUGGGGACUUGUCCCCCUUCCCUCGGCGCCGCCCCCGAAAUGAAUUGGCGGUCUCGUCGCGGCCUCCUCUGCGUAGUAGCACAACCUCGCAUCAGGAGCGCGGCGCGGCCACUGCCGUAAAACGCCCAACUUUUUUUAAGAGUUGACCUCGAAUCAGGUAGGAAUACCCGCUGAACUUAAGCAUAUCAAUAAGCGGAGGAAAAGAAACCAACAGGGAUUGCCCCAGUAACGGCGAGUGAAGCGGCAACAGCUCAAAUUUGAAAUCUGGCCCCUAGGGCCCGAGUUGUAAUUUGCAGAGGAUGCUUUUGGCGAGGUGCCUUCCGAGUUCCCUGGAACGGGACGCCAUAGAGGGUGAGAGCCCCGUCUGGUUGGAUGCCGAGCCUCUGUAAAGCUCCUUCGACGAGUCGAGUAGUUUGGGAAUGCUGCUCUAAAUGGGAGGUAUAUGUCUUCUAAAGCUAAAUACCGGCCAGAGACCGAUAGCGCACAAGUAGAGUGAUCGAAAGAUGAAAAGCACUUUGAAAAGAGGGUUAAAUAGUACGUGAAAUUGUUGAAAGGGAAGCACUUAUGACCAGACUUGGACCCGGUGAAUCAUCCAGCGUUCUCGCUGGUGCACUUUGCCGGGCUCAGGCCAGCAUCAGUUUGCCUCGGGGGAUAAAGGCUUUGGGAAUGUGGCUCCCUCGGGAGUGUUAUAGCCCAUUGCACAAUACCCUGGGGCGGACUGAGGUUCGCGCAUCUGCAAGGAUGCUGGCGUAA
This 1166-nucleotide small RNA is filed under the name Pochonia chlamydosporia. Its description in RNAcentral is "eukaryotic LSU rRNA". The stretch from base 557 to 1166 matches the Rfam family "Eukaryotic large subunit ribosomal RNA", at positions 1 to 634 of the family's 3401-position model. Lineage: Eukaryota; Fungi; Ascomycota; Sordariomycetes; Hypocreales; Clavicipitaceae. The record is from RNAcentral.